Molecule: ribosomal RNA, 811 nt
Filed under: Wallacidia oculata
Lineage: Eukaryota; Metazoa; Arthropoda; Insecta; Hymenoptera; Mutillidae
Description: 12S ribosomal RNA
Source: RNAcentral
GGUUGUAAACAGAGGGGCUCAUGAUAAAAAUUUUUUAAUUAAUAAAAAUGUGAUUUUAGUUUUUUUGAAUGUUUAUUUUUAUUUUUUACAUAUAGCUUAUAUUUGAUAGAUUUAUUAUUUGGGAAUUGAAUUUAAUAGUUUGUUUUAGGGUUUAUUUAGUUUGGGAUAAUAACUGGGAUUAAGUGAGUGCCAGCUAUAGCGGUUAAACUCACCCAGUAUCAUUUAGAUUACAUAAGGUUUGUUUAAUAAAAUUUGUUAAUUGUUUGGUGAAAUAUUAAAAUUGAUGGAUUUUAUUAAUUUUUGGAUCUGAAGGAGACUAAGACUGGGAUUAGAACCCCAUUAUGUUAUAAGGAAUAUUCUUGUGGGUAUUAAAUGUGAAUCAUUAAAUCUAAGGAAUCUGGCGGCAUAGAACGUAUUUAGAGGGACUUGUGGACUUAAAUUGAUAAUCCACGAUUGGAGAUACUUUGAUUUAAUGUUUGUAUAUUGUUGUUUUUAGGAGAUUUUAAUAAAUUUUCUGUUAACUUAAAAAAGGGAUACUUCAAAUCAAAACGCAGUUUUCAAAGGGUUUCAUGAGUCACAUUAUUUUAAUUUAUUGAUAUUAAGGUUUUUAAUUAUUUUAUGAUAAAGGAUUUAAAAGUAAAUUGAAAUAAGAAUUUCACUUGAACUAAAGUUUAUGAGUACAAAUCGCCCGUCAUUCCUCUUAUCUAAAUGGUGAGGACAAGUCGUAACAAAGUAAAUGUACUGGAAAGUGUAUUUUAAUUUAAUUUUUAUUUAAAUUUUAUUUAAAUAUUCACUUUGUGAUAAAUUAAUA